This 468-nucleotide ribosomal RNA is filed under the name uncultured bacterium. Its description in RNAcentral is "partial 16S ribosomal RNA". It matches the Rfam family "Bacterial small subunit ribosomal RNA", at positions 28 to 507 of the family's 1533-position model. The record is from RNAcentral.
GACGAACGCUGGCGGCGUGCUUAAUACAUGCAAGUCGAACGCUAAGGCCCUGUUCUUGUGGCGUGUUCAUGUGGCGAACGCGUGUGUAUCACGCGAGUAGCCUGCCCUUUUCUUUGGGAUACCUUCUGUAAACUGGGGUUCUUAUCCGAUAUGAACUCCUUCUGCACGGUUUUGGUUGUAGAGUUUGGGCGGUUGGGGAUUGACUCGGGGUUCAUCAGCUUGUUGGUUGGGUAGUGGCUUACCAAGGCAGCGACGGGUAGCCGGCCUGAGAGGGUGAACGGCCACAUUGGGACUGAGAGACGGCCCAGAAGCGUACGGGAGGCAGCAGUGGAGAGUAUUGCAGAGUGGGCGGGAGCGUGAUGCAACGGCGCCGCGUGCGGGAUGACGGCCUUGGAGUGGUAAACCGCUUUCGCCUGUGAAGAAGCGUGAGGGAAGGUAAUGGGUAAAGAAGCACCGGCUAAAUAAGUG